This 331-nucleotide ribosomal RNA is filed under the name uncultured eukaryote. Its description in RNAcentral is "partial 18S ribosomal RNA". It matches the Rfam family "Eukaryotic small subunit ribosomal RNA", at positions 1470 to 1796 of the family's 1831-position model. The record is from RNAcentral.
CCCUUAGAUGUUCUGGGCCGCACGCGCGCUACACUGACGAAGUCAGCGAGCAUGUCCUACGCCGACAGGUGCGGGGAAUCUUGUCAAACUUCGUCGUGAUGGGGAUUGAUUAUUGAAAUUCUUGAUCAUCAACGAGGAGUUCCUAGUAAGCGCAAGUCAGCAGCUUGCGUUGAUUACGUCCCUGCCCUUUGUACACACCGCCCGUCGCUACUACCGAUUGAAUGGUUUAGUGAGAUCUUCGGAUUGGCGCCACUGCGGCUCAGCAAUGGGCUCGGUGGAUGCCGAAAAGUUGAUCAAACUUGAUCAUUUAGAGGAAGUAAAAGUCGUAACA